GGAUCCUGAGUACGACGGAGCACGUGAAAUUCCGUCGGAAUCUGGGAGGACCAUCUCCUAAGGCUAAAUACUCUCUAGUGACCGAUAGUGAACCAGUACCGUGAGGGAAAGGUGAAAAGCACCCCGGAAGGGGAGUGAAAUAGAACCUGAAACCGUGUGCUUACAAGUAGUCAGAGCCCGUUAAUGGGUGAUGGCGUGCCUUUUGUAGAAUGAACCGGCGAGUUACGAUUUGAUGCAAGGUUAAGCAGUAAAUGUGGAGCCGUAGCGAAAGCGAGUCUGAAUAGGGCGUUUAGUAUUUGGUCGUAGACCCGAAACCAGGUGAUCUACCCUUGGUCAGGUUGAAGUUCAGGUAACACUGAAUGGAGGACCGAACCGACUUACGUUGAAAAGUGAGCGGAUGAACUGAGGGUAGCGGAGAAAUUCCAAUCGAACCUGGAGAUAGCUGGUUCUCUCCGAAAUAGCUUUAGGGCUAGCCUCAAGUGAUGAUUAUUGGAGGUAGAGCACUGUUUGGACGAGGGGCCCCUCUCGGGUUACCGAAUUCAGACAAACUCCGAAUGCCAAUUAAUUUAACUUGGGAGUC
Molecule: ribosomal RNA, 580 nt
Filed under: Staphylococcus aureus
Lineage: Bacteria; Bacillati; Bacillota; Bacilli; Caryophanales; Staphylococcaceae
Description: partial 23S ribosomal RNA
Rfam family: Bacterial large subunit ribosomal RNA
Source: RNAcentral